RNAcentral lists this ribosomal RNA (497 nucleotides) under uncultured bacterium. Its description in RNAcentral is "partial 16S ribosomal RNA". It matches the Rfam family "Bacterial small subunit ribosomal RNA", at positions 28 to 507 of the family's 1533-position model. The record is from RNAcentral.
GAUGAACGCUGGCGGCGUGCCUAAUACAUGCAAGUCGAGCGAACAGACGAGGAGCUUGCUCCUCUGACGUUAGCGGCGGACGGGUGAGUAACACGUGGAUAACCUACCUAUAAGACUGGGAUAACUUCGGGAAACCGGAGCUAAUACCGGAUAAUAUAUUGAACCGCAUGGUUCAAUAGUGAAAGACGGUUUUGCUGUCACUUAUAGAUGGAUCCGCGCCGCAUUAGCUAGUUGGUAAGGUAACGGCUUACCAAGGCAACGAUGCGUAGCCGACCUGAGGGGGUGAUCGGCGAUACUGGAACUGAGACACGGUCCAGACUCCUACGGGAGGCAGCAGUAGGGAAUCUUACGCAAUGGGCGAAAGCCUGACGGAGCAACGCCGCGUGAGUGAUGAAGGUCUUCGGAUCGUAAAACUCUGUUAUUAGGGAAGAACAAAUGUGUAAGUAACUAUGCACGUCUUGACGGUACCUAAUCAGAAAGCCACGGCUAACUACGUG